UACGUAGGGGGCUAGCGUUGUCCGGAAUUAUUGGGCGUAAAGCGCGUGUAGGCGGUCCGGUAAGUCCGCUGUGAAAGUCGGGGGCUCAACCCUCGGAUGCCGGUGGAUACUGUCGGGCUUGAGUACGGAAGAGGCGAGUGGAAUUCCUGGUGUAGCGGUGAAAUGCGCAGAUAUCAGGAGGAACACCAAUUGCGAAGGCAGCUCGCUGGGACGUUACUGACGCUGAGACGCGAAAGCGUGGGGAGCAAACAGG
Molecule: ribosomal RNA, 253 nt
Filed under: uncultured bacterium
Lineage: Bacteria
Description: partial 16S ribosomal RNA
Rfam family: Bacterial small subunit ribosomal RNA
Source: RNAcentral